This 190-nucleotide unclassified non-coding RNA is filed under the name uncultured fungus. RNAcentral's name for it is "sequence contains ITS1". The record is from RNAcentral. Lineage: Eukaryota; Fungi.
UUAGGCAUUUAAAUUUUCGCUCAGACAACAAAUAUAUUGAUGGUAAAAGCCUCUGGCGGGCGCACACUAGCAUUGCCAGCGGCAUUAAGACGGCCCACCAAAGCAACAAAUAUCAAUUAACACAGGGUGGAGGAGUCUCCGUUAGGAGCGCAACUCGGUAAUGAUCCUCUCGCAGGUUCACCUACGAGAA